UUGUUCAUUUCUUCUAUUCUUCUCUCUAUACGUUGGUGUUCUAACCAAUAAUCACCAAAGCGAUGUUCUGUCCGAUUGAUUCAGGAACCAUCUAACGAAUGCCAAAGUGUUGUACUUUGUGAAUUUCGUUAAACGGAAUCCAAAGUACUAUACUUUGUGAGUUCAUUAAAUGGAUACCAAAGUACUGUCUGAAUAAGACUAUACUUUGUGAAAUUCGUUAAGGUUCGAAUCUCGUGAUCAUCGUUAGGUUUGAUAUGGUUUUACACAAAUACAUAUUCCAUUCUGUUAAACUAUAUGUUUAACCAUCCGAAUACUCCCAACUAUACACUUAUAAUCAAAAUGGAUGCUUAAUCAUCAGAAGAUCCAAAAUAAUAAAGUAUAUGCUUAAUUAUCAGAAGGAGUAGAAUCAAGAAGCUUGUUAAAUCAAUACUGCAUGCUUAUACUGUGGGCGAGCCUAAAAUUUGUGAUACUCGUCACUAUUGGGUGACAGGACCCAAUAGUGGUAUGACCAUAGUCACAGAUCCAGUCGAGUGACAAAUACUGUGGGUAAUUGGUUGAUAGAAACAUUGUAAUCUCCCUUAAUACUGUAAAUUAUAACAACGUGUCAUUAAAAUGAAUGAUUCACUCAGUAUUUCCCUGCUGACAAAACAUUUUUAAAACGCGUUUCAGGUAAUUACAGUAGAUUGGAGUAAAAGUUGGAUACGGCACCAACAAGACUUACAGAAGUGGCUCAUUUU
This 737-nucleotide long non-coding RNA is filed under the name Helianthus annuus (common sunflower). Its description in RNAcentral is "hypothetical non coding rna". Lineage: Eukaryota; Viridiplantae; Streptophyta; Magnoliopsida; Asterales; Asteraceae. The record is from RNAcentral.